AAAUUCUUUCCUUCCUCAAUCUCAGAAAAGAUCACAGUCUUAUCAAAACAGUUGAUAUAAACUCGGUUAAACACCAACCAGUUCAUACCCAAGAUAACAUCAAUCUGCACUAACGGAAGACACACAAGGUCUAUACCAAAGUCUCUACCAAAAAUACUCAAAGGACAAUUCAAACAAACUGAAGUAGUAGUCACUGAACCCUUCGCAGGAGUAUCAAUCACCAUACGACCAUGCAUCUCAGAUAUCUCUAACUUAAGUUUCACAGCACAAUCCAAAGAUAUAAAAGAAUGAGUAGCACCGGUGUCAAUAAUAGCUACAAGAGGAAAGCCAUUUAUAUAACACGUACCUCUGAUCAAACGAUCAUCUGCAGAAGUCUCAGAACCCGCUAGAGCAAAAACCUUGCCUCCCGACUGAUUCUCCUUCUUCGGUUUAGGGCACUGUGGGCUGAUAUGACCCACCUCUCCACAGUUGAAGCAAGUCACAGUCUUCAACCGGCAAUCUGCAGCCAAGUGACCACCUUUUCCACACUUGAAACACUUCUUCUCAGCACUAGUACAUUCGUGGAAACGAUGUCCAGCCUGACCACAUCUGUAACACUUAGCAGGAGCACUAGAAUCUCCCCCACUAGGCUUCUUUAUCCCACUCUGUCUCUGGAAACCUUUGCCAGCUGCAUACGGUUUCCCACGAUCAAUUUGAUUCUUGCCUUUCCUAUCAACCCUUUGCUGAUAGCUCUCUGCUCUAGCCUUGGAAUCCUGUUCAAAAAUCCUGCAACAGUCAACCAAAUCAGAAAACACCCUGAUUCGCUGAUAUCCAAUCGCCUGCUUGAUCUCGGGAAUAGCCUUGGAAUCCUGUUCAAAAAUCCUGCAACAGUCAACCAAAUCAGAAAACACCCUGAUUCGCUGAUAUCCAAUCGCCUGCUUGAUCUCGGGACGCAACCCGUUCUCAAACUUCACACAUUUGGAGAAUUCCCCAGUAGCCUCACUAUAGGGAGUAUAAUACUUUGACAGCUCUGUGAACUUAGCAGCAUACUCAGUAACCGACCGGUUACCCUGCUUCAAUUCCAAGAACUCUAUCUCUUUCUUUCCUCUGACAUCCUCUGGAAAGUACUUCCUCAGAAAUCUCUCUCUGAACACUGCCCAAGUAAUCUCAGCAUUCCCUGCAGUUUCCAACUCAGUGCGGGUAGCAACCCACCAAUCAUCAGCUUCUUCUGACAGCAUAUGCGUACCGAACCUGACCUUCUGGUUAUCGGCACACUCGGUCACUCUGAAGAUUCUCUCGAUCUCCUUCAACCACUUCUGAGCACCAUCUGGAUCGUAUGCUCCCUUGAACAUUGGAGGAUUAUUCUUCUGGAACUCACUCAGUUGACGAGCAGCUCCCAUUCCUACAACAUUCGGAUUUCCUCCAAGUACUCCAGCCAGCAUACCCAGAGCCUCAGCAAUCGCAGCAUCGUCUCUACCUCUUCCAGACAUCUCAAUCUGAAAGUCCAACAAGCUAAACAAUAAGUACUGAUAGGGUUACACAACACCUAUCCCGUACAGGGAAACGGAAUAAUUACGACUCGACUCGACCGACUAUGCUCUGAUACCACUAAUGUAACACCCUUCUAAAAAUACCCCAAAAAAAUUUAACUAAAAUAAUAAACAUAUAUCAAUCAGAGUAAUUAUACCCUUCAAGGGUGUCACACAAUCACUUCACACCAAUCAUCAAAUAUCCUGUCAUGCUCAUUUAUUUAAUCAAUAAAAAUUUGCAUAAUUCGCAGGGAUACAAAAAUAACAACAUCCAAAUCAUGUAACACAUUACAUGUAAAUGUUCAACAACCAAAGAAAACAUAGUAAACAAUCCCUCCCGAUGUUACAUCUACCAGAGCAUGACCCACUAAGGACUACACUAGACCCAAGACUAGCUUCUAUCAAUCACUGCUCGUUACCUGAAAAAUAUUGUAAGGGUGAGUUCCUCAAUCGAUAUAAUAGCAUUUAAAUAUCAUGUAAUGUAAGUAAUAUAACACAUCAUCACCUAAUCAAAUACACAUAUCCAACGCAAUAUCAACUAAUAAUCAUCACAUCAUCAUACUCAAAUCAAACAACCAAAAAACACACGUAUAAUAUUGGAAUCAUCCAUUCAUAUUAUACGCCAUACAUACAUAUAUAUGCAAUGAGACUCCAUGCAUGCGGUACCGACUAUCGUGAACAUAUAGUUCAACCUCACCGAUCAAAUCCAGUACGGCUACCAAGCUCACUAGUCCCAUCUCAUUUGAGACCUAGUGACUCACUCACUAAUUCCUCACCAUGGGAAUUAGCUACCACCCCAAGGGCUAUGCUAUGCACGCUAAUCACCUAGCAUGCAAACAUCACACAUCACAAAACUCAUCACUAAUUCCUCACCAUGGGAAUUAGCUACCACCAUAAAGGCCACAAAUGCAUGCUAUCACCUAGCAAUGCACAACUCAACAACAAUUCAAGAAUAGAAUAUGCUCACACUCUAAGCCAUAAAACAGUCUAUUCACAAUGCACACAUAACUGAUACAUUCACAGCAUCAUGCAUACAUCACACAUCAUCAUAUUUUAUCAAAUAAGCUUAUCAUAUCAUGCAAAUACACCAGUAUUAGCACACUCUACUAAUACCUAUACUACUCAACAAGGAAAUGAUCCCUAAUAUAUCAUACAUCACUAAUUACUUACUCAGCUGAACAAAAAACUGCACAACAACAGCUCAGAAAAUCACAAUCCUGCCCAUACGCGUAUUGCCUACCCCAUACGCGUAUGCCCAUUCCUCAGCCAAUCCAUACGCGUAACCAUCCAUACGCGUAUGCUACGCGUACCACUUCCCAUACGCGUACCAACAGAGACAACUCGUUCAAAACAUCAUCUUCCUCAUCCAUACGCGUAUUGCCUAGUGCCAUACGCGUACCAGCCAUCUCAUACGCGUAUUGCCUAGUGCCAUACGCGUAUGACCAGAAACCAGAUUUCCAGAUCUGCAAUGGCUUUCUCUGCUACGAGAUCUAUCCAUUCAACUUCCACGUCCAAUUUUACACAAAAUCGUUCAUAUCAUCUAACACGAAUCAUACCUAUUCGAUUUCACAAUUCUAACACUUUUACAUCUAAUUCUACGAAUUCCUUCAAUAUAAUCCAAUUUUCAUUCAUCCAUUUCACAAUUUCAUCAUCAUCAUUCAAUCAGGGACAAUCAAUGUUAUCACUACCCAUACAUUUAUCCCAUAAUACCCAUUAACGAGAUAAACCCCCCUUACCUGAGUUAAUCCGGCAAUCUCUGAGCUUCAAGCUUUCCUCUCUCAACCUUGUUCUCUGGCUCUCUUUGCCCUUUUCCACUUUCUGUCUCUUUUUCCUUUUCACGUGAAAAUAACCUUUUUACUAAAUGGGACCUUUUUCUAACUUCCAACUUUUAUUCCAAUAAAAUAAUAAAAAAAUAUGACCCCAAUAAUAAUAUUAAUAAUCCAAUAAUUUUCUAAUUAUUUAAUUAAAUUAAUAAAUAAAAUAUUAACUUAAUUUAAACAAUUAUCUUAAUUUCAUCGGGGUGUUACAAAGAGGGUGAGACAUAUCUCAAUAAUACUUAUAUUGGUUCAUCUGACACAAGGUUAUUGAUGAACCAAUUAGCCUUAAGACAUUAGAGAUUUGAUUGGUCAAAUAAGGGAAUAGGAAAGAAUAUGGAUGAAGAUGAAGAGAGAGGGGAAGAUAGAAACACAAAUUGACCAAGGUAGGAUUUUAUCAAAUCAAAACCAGUCAUUCAUUUUGGGAUAUGAAAUGUACAUUUCAUCAAUCCCCAAAAUCCAAUGGUUUUGAUGCAACAAAAGUCAAAUCAACCUUGAUCAAGGCCCAAACAGAAAGUCAAACAUCACAAGUCCAUAAAAAUGGCUCAACAUAAUUUUUAAACAAUUAAUCAAUUAAAAAUCACAUUAAAAAUGAAUAAAAAUGCAUUUUAAUUUGGUCAAAACCUAAAAUCCCUUCAAAACACCAAAUAAAUAGUCAAGGGGUUUAUCCUAAGUCAAACAAGGUCAAAUGACCUUAGACAAAAAAAUCACUAUUUUUUGAAAGUCAGAAGUAUUUUUAAACAAUUAAAAAUAUGUACAAAAACAUUUAAUUCAUGAAAAAUAUCAAAAUUAAUCCAAAAAAUAAUUUUAAUUUAGAAUAUGUAAGAGAAAAAUAUUUAAAGAUUUUUGGUGAAAGUCCCACAUUUUUUGGAUUAAAAAUGAAAUUGAUAUGAAUUAAACAAAAUAAAAGGAUUAAAUGAAAAUUCCGAAAAUAAAAAUAAAUUAGAAAAAAUAAGGGCCAUCAGAUUUCCCUUAUUAAUUGAGGUGACAGAUCUGAUGUCUACACGUGCGUUUUCCAUGGUAGUCUUCAGUCAAUGCAAUGAACGCGUGGUAUUCAAAAGCAAUGGCUCAGAUUAUAACAUCCAAACAUGAUCAGAUGGCCAGGAAGUGUGCCAACACACCACCGGAGCUAGGGCUCCGGUCAUCUUUUCCAGUGACCUCCACUGGACUAGUCCAACUUCAUCUCAAUGGAAAAUGAAAAACAAGGACACUAUUUCAAAGAGAAAAUGCUCAGAAUCUCGAAUCUGGCCUCAAUUUUCUCCAAUUCCAAGUAUAUAAAAAGAUACAAGGAUUUGAAUUUUGAGGAUCAUUAACUGAGUUGAUUAGAUUUAACCUCAAAGCAACUCAAUCUUGUUGCCUACAUUGGUAGGACUUCAGCCAACCAAAAAUCAAAGAGAAUGGUGAAGAAUUGAGAGAGAAUCGAAGAGAUGAAGUUUCUGAAAACUCACCUUCGAGGGAGCUUGAAUGUUGCUUGAUCUUGCUUCCAAUUGGUCUUGGCUUGACUUCAGAAGCUUGCAGAAGUUGAAUUGGAUCAAGGAAAGGCUUGGAUUCUUGGAGUUUCAACUUCAAAAUUGAAGUGAAAUUGAAACUCGAUUUUCAAUUGAAAACCUUAAAGUUUAUCCUCUAAUGUGAGGGUUAGGAUUGCAGGUUCAAAGCUUGGGCAAGGUGUCCAUAAUUUUGAGCAUGAAGGGUCUUAUUUAUAGGCAAUGCAAUUGGUUUUCACACCCUUCCAUCAAACUGCCAAAAAUAGAAAACUCCACUUGCAUGGUUGCAUGGGCGUGUGAUAGGCUCAUGAAAUGAUGUAAUCAGGUCUAAAUUUCAUCAUGUGCAAUGCUGAAAGUGUGUAAUGUGAUCAUGCAAUGGAAAUUGGAAAUUGAACAUGAGAUUCAUCCAAAUGGAGCCUUGAAGAGAAACCAUACGCAAAUUAUCUAAUUCUUGGCCAAAUGAGAUGAUCUUGGACUUUUUGGAAAGGUAAGAUCAAUGGGAACAACUUUCAUAUUUAACACUUUUCCAUUUUAAGCUUGGAUUAUGAUGAAUUUUGAGGUGGAAGUUUGGAAAAUCAAACAUAAAUGAAAAUUUUCUAAGUACCAAGCCAAAUGUUCACUUCUUCCACCUUGAAUAACUUUUUCUAUGGGAUUCAAAUGGAAAAAGUUACUUCAUAAAAGUUGUAUAUAUUUAAAACCUAUUCAAUUUGGUAACAAAUUUGACCUCAUUUGGAUUUGGCAUGAAGGAUUUGUGCAUUUUAGAAGUUGAGGAAAAUCACUUGUUCAAUGGUAAUGGCCCAAAGUGACCUAUAAUGUUUCCUCUUGGCACAUGCCCUUGCAAGUUGAAUUUUAAUUUAUUACAAAAAUAAAAGUUUUAUAGGACAUAUUUAAUUUGAUCAUUAAACUUGAAUUGACUUUAUGUCAUAAAAAUUGAGCAAGUUAUGGUCCUUGGAAGUUGACCUCCUAACUAUGGUUCAGACAAAAUGACCUAUAAUCUUUCACCAUAAAAAUGACUUUCCAAGAAAAACUAGAUAUUGACUUAAACAUGAAAGUUAUUUGGAAUGUCAUAAGGAGUAACUUUAAUCUUGGAAAUAAUUUUCAUAUGACAAAAAUUGUAGGAGAUAGGGUCUAGUGAACCCCAGUUUUGACUAGUUGACUUUCUCUGGUCAACCACCAUGAACCAACUUGCAAACUUGAAAUUACAUUGAUCUUUUGGACUCAUGUAGGAUAAUAUAUGUAUAAUAUGAUGUAAUAUGAAGUAUCACUUGAAAUAUUUGAUCACAUGAUGAAGAAACUUGUUGAGGAAGUCAUACAAGAUCCCUAGAUGAAUUAGGGCUUCCAAGACAAACAAACUUCAAACUCUUGAUGAAUUCUUGAUCAAAAUAAUAAUUGGAGAUCAUGGGGAUCCAUAUAUUAUGUAUAGAGUCAAUGUAAAUCAUCUCUUGAUUAUUCUCCUUGCAUCGAGGGUCUCAAACCCUAGAUAGGAGCUUGAUGGAACAUAAGUGAGCACACACACUACCUACAAAAGAAGUGGACUAUACGUUGACAUGUUUUUGGUAUUUUGGUUAGUAAAUAAUGAAAAACAAAUUAUGAUAAAAUCAAAUGUGCUUGGUGAUUUCUCCUAAUGAAAACCCAAUGAAUGAGAGACAAGGAGGAUGCCAAGGUGUGAUCCCAAAGCCAAUGCAUAUGAUGAGAUAUCACGAGGGAUCUUAGGGUCAAAAUUGAGGUCUUAAACUCCCUGCAAGAGGAAUGACGUACCUCAAAAGGCCACUGAUGAUAUAUGCCAUCCUUAAGCUGCCUUUGAUAAGGCUUCUAUCUAGACCCUUAUGAAACCAAAAUGGAGAAAGAGGCAACCUGAGGCGAGGUAGGAGUCGAUAGGGGCUGAAACCAACUUUAGAAUAGACCAAGUGUUAUGAAGGGUGUUACUGCAAAUGCAGAAGGAUCAGAGAGACUUUUAUAAAUUUUCAAAAGGUAAUUUUGAGUGAUAAAAAAGAAGUUGAAUGAGUGGAACUAUAAUGAUGAGGUUACGCCAAUUUUCCCAGACCAUAUUUAGGGGGAACUUGAAGAAUAGGACGACCAAGAGCAGAAAGUGGAGGAAGAAAGUGAAAAGGAAAAAGGGAAGAAGUAGAAAAAGGCUAUGUCCUCUGGUGCACCAGAAGCGUCUAACUCCGACGUUCAUAAGGAGGAAAGUGCUGAGAAGCCAAGGAAGAAGGAAAGAAAGGACAAAAAAACCAAAAAAAGGAAGACUAAUGGCGUACCUGAGAAAGACACUACUAAAAAUAUUGAGGAAGAAGAUAAAAGUGAUGUUGAAGAAAGCUCUAAGGAGGAUAAGAGGACUUUAAAGGAAUUGUUGACACAAGCUGUGAAGGAUAAAAAUAAGUUGUUGGCUUAUGCAUCUGUAAGGGUGCAAAAUAAAAGGAAUAUUAAAGAAGAAGAAGUCAAUAAUGAUGAAGAGCAAGAGGAUGAAAUAAAGGAGGUUGAUAAUGAAUUGGAUGGGAAGAAGGAGGAUGGAAACAUUAUUAAAGAGGAAUAGGAAGUUGUUGAGGAAAAGAAGGACGCAACUAAAGACUCACAAAUCCGAGUCUAAAGAAGAGUCUAAGGAGGAUAUGAGUAUUGAUGUGAUGCCUGUUAGCACUCCAGAAAAAGUGAAGAAGCCUGUGAAGGUCAACACUUAUGCCCCCAACAAAGGUUACACAAUAGAAGAAAUACCCCGCCACAACCAAGCUUAUAGUCAAGCCCAAGUCUCCUCCUAUGAAAACUCAAGCUAAGUAGAUUAAGGUGCCUAUAGCUAUCACGACUGAAGUUGUCUCUGAGGCACCAAAGACUUCAAAGAAACCAAUCCUGCCAGAGCAUGCCUAGAAGGAGGCUAGAAAGAAUAAGAAAGAAAAAAAAUGCUUUGAGGAAGAGUAGAAGGCUUAAUGCCUAGCUGGUAUUUCUCUUAACCUUUAUUGAGGGGAAACCUAUGGCGGGCCCCAUUUCAUCAGCUGACAGUAAGGACAUUGUCCUUAAAUUAAGUCUGGGGGAGUGGCGGCUUAUGUCGUAACCUUGUCCAUCAAUCCAAUCAUUAUCAUCAUCAUCUGUUUUGUUGUUGUUUAAUUAAGUUGUUUGCUUUUAAUAUUUUGUUGUUGGUUGGCUGCCUUCAGCCGUAUUUCUAUUAAAUCAAUGAAACUGUAUUUGUAACCCCUAGAAGACAUAAUAAAAACAGAGGAAAAAAACUGACUGCAACCCCUAGAAGACAAACAACUCUAAAAGACUUAGGAAAAAUCUGGUAGGAUUAUGACAAUAUCGGAAACAAGGUCUUAAUUGCUAAUCAAUUGCACCCUUGUGUUUUUUAUAACCCCCGUCGCAUCUCUAGUAGUCAGAAAAGUAGGUAGCCUUUUGAUAAAAUUGAAUUAUUUUAAAGUAUGGAAUAUGAGUUCACUGUAGGAUUUACUCAGGGGAGGUUACUAAUGAUGUUUAGCAUCUAGUACAUUGGACAUACUGCAUAUGAAAAUAAACAUACAAAAGUGUGUAAAUGAAGUAAGUCAAAAUGCACUUCUUAAAUAAGUUCAUGUACCCGAAACUAGAGAAAUAGUAGGUGUCUUCACCAUUAAUACUAGAUUUGACUCAUUACAAGUGAGAUCAUGUCAGGGGAAAAGGUGGAGCAUCUAUCAAGUUUAUCAAUAAAUGCACGUCUGUUCCUAAGUACAAAAGUCUGAAAAUAGAAUAGUCAAAUCCCCCUGAUGAAAUUGAAAAAUAAAGUCUUGAACCAUAAGAUAAGGCAACCAAAGUUAAAUCAAGGCUAACUAUCUUUGAAUGAAGAGUACUGGUGUGGCAUGUAACAUCAAUAAUGCACAGAGCACGCGCACAUACACACACUUGUGAUCAAGCUUCAAGGAUAAGUUCAAAAUGAUGCUUCAAAAGCCUUUAAUACAUUACUCAUUCACUAAGGAUCAUAUUACUCACUACGCAUCACUAAUGGUUGAGAUAACUUCAAAAAAUGUUUGAAAGUAGACAAAUGUUCUAAAGAAGAGGAAAUAUCAUCAUUAACUAGCACAAAGACACAUGUCAAUCACCCGCAACGAAACGUUACCUAUUACAAGAAAGACAUUUAAAACACAUAUUCCGAAGGGCAACAAUGUCACAUCAAAGGCUUUCAUGUCCUCGAAUUCAGUGGUUGAAUAGGAACACUUAUUACAAACCUUCGCCUUGCAAAGCUGGCACAAGGAUUUGGAAGACAACUAUUAUGGGCCGCCCAUAAUACCUAAGGAUAAAGUUCCAAUAGUAAAACAAAAGAGUAAAGUGUAGAACAAUUAAACUCGUUUUCUCUUUCUGAGCAUGCAAUCUUGCAUAUGGAAGGUCUACUGGACAUCUAGAUCAAUUCGACAAUUGACCGUGAUCCACACCCUAUUCCACGCUUUCUAUUGCCAACCACUUCUCCUAUUUAAGCGAAUGGAUUACCUCCCUCAUAACAUUUUGUGGAUCACAACUCUAAAUCAUGGUUAAAGACUUUUAUCUUUAAAAAAAAAUAGAUAGGUCUGAAUUGAAACAGAGUUAGUAUGUGACUGUGGGCGAAAUUGAAUGCACGGUUACCUUGACAUUGAAACACAGAGUAGUUUGUGACUUUGACAUUAGAAUUUUAAGAGAGAAAUUAGUGGAAUACUAAUGUGUUUUAAGGGAUUGAGCGUGAUAUGAAUAUCCUUUUCUGAGUUUAUUAUCAACACCCUGCGGCUUGAUUGUGAUAGGAAUAUUCCAUCUAUCUAUCCAUCCACAGGUGAAACACCAUUACCAACUUAUUCAUUCAUUCAAGUGAUUGUGUAAGUAACACUACAUGUGUACUAGUACUACUACUGUCUUUUAUUACGUUAAACCGACACGUUGUAGGAAACACGUCUUAGAUAGAUGAGAAUAUCUAUAAUUUUUGUCCUAUUUAACUAUUUUUAAAGACACUAGUAAUUUUAAGAAUACUAAUUUUACCCUUUUGCUUUUAUUUUAAUAGCUGAAAUUAUAAUAUUUUUUAAAAAUUUUAUUUAUAAGAAAAAAAUGAUUUUUUAAAUUUAUUAAAUAAACAAUAUAUUUAAUUUAUCAUACAUACAUUAAUUAAAUAAAUUUAAAAAAAUAAUUAUUUUUUUAUAAAUAGAAUAAAAGUUAGUAUGUUUUAUCUUUUUGUUUUUAUUUUAUAGCUGGAAUUUCAGUUAUUAAAAACGAAUAUGUUAAAAUGUUAUAGGUUGGAACCCAUGUCUUUCCAAUUAUAUGUUAUUGCAUAACUAUAAACUAUGUUGAACUACACUAAUUUAAGCAUAUAUUUGGAAAAAGUUACCUGGAAAUUAGAAGUGACACAAUGUUUUAGAAACAAAUAUUUGUUACGAUAAGUGUGUUAACAAAUAGGCCACCGACAUACGACAGUUGCGACCAGCAGAGGUUGCUAACGUGCGCGUCAUCAAUCUCUACUAUUCAAGCUAAGUUCAUUCAUUGUCUUCUUCUUCUUCCUCACCUUCUCAAAUCCUCACAUUCCCAAUUUCUUCACUCUGCAAACCCAAUUUCUAGGGUUUUCCAUAAAUCACAAACCUCACGGUGGUUCAAUUCAAUCCACCGCCGAUUGUUAUGUAAUGAGGCGGCGCCCUGUGGCGGCCAUUCUCCAAGAUCAAAUGGAGAAAUCAACAACCAAAACCCAAAAUUCCCGAAUCUGCUUCCUCGCUAUUCUCACCGCUUUCUUCUGGCUCUUUCUCCUUUACUUCCAUUUCAUCAUCCUCCCCCAACAAAAUCAACCACAAUCCACCAUUUCCACCACCGUAAACAACCAACUAACAUCCCUCCACCACCAACCAUAUUCACCGCCACCGCCACCGCCACCACCACCGCCAGCAUCAUUACCCAAAUUCAAGAGUCCUCCAAGGAAGAACUUUGGCUUCCCUGAUAAGUCAACACUACAAUCACAAUCCCCUCC
RNAcentral lists this long non-coding RNA (10732 nucleotides) under Lathyrus oleraceus (garden pea). Its description in RNAcentral is "Pisum sativum (pea) long non-coding RNA (PSAT_LNC009230)". Lineage: Eukaryota; Viridiplantae; Streptophyta; Magnoliopsida; Fabales; Fabaceae. The record is from RNAcentral.